This is a non-coding RNA of Maylandia zebra (zebra mbuna), 382 nucleotides long. Lineage: Eukaryota; Metazoa; Chordata; Actinopteri; Cichliformes; Cichlidae. The record is from RefSeq and is a predicted model, not a curated record.
CAGAAAAUGACUCUCAGGGGGUUAUCAAUGGAGGAGCUCCUUAUAAAGUUGAUGGAAGAAGGCAUUGAUGUGUCAGACGACGAGGCGCAAAGGUUUAGAGUUGUGUGAUGAGGUUGAUUUAAUGCAUCCCUGCCAAGACAACAUCUGUCGCCGCUUUAGCAAAAACUUCACUGCUGUUCUUCAAAUGACCAAGGAUUUGCCACUGAAGAAGGUCUACAUGGAGGGAGAAUGCACUGGCUGAAGACAUUACAGGAAUUGACUUCAAGGGGGCACUUCUCUUGCCAUCCAUCUUCAAGGAGAAGAUAGAAGAUUUCAUCAUCCUUGGAGAGAAUACUCCCACGAGUCCAUACCCAACCAUUCGAAUGAAGGAUAAGAGUUGGAC